This is a ribosomal RNA of 399 nucleotides. The stretch from base 70 to 223 matches the Rfam family "5.8S ribosomal RNA".
CUGGCCAGCGCCUGCCAGAGGACCUGUAAAAUCUGUGUUAGUGUCGUCUGAGUACUAUCUAAUAGUUAAAACUUUCAACAACGGAUCUCUUGGUUCUGGCAUCGAUGAAGAACGCAGCGAAAUGCGAUAAGUAAUGUGAAUUGCAGAAUUCAGUGAAUCAUCGAAUCUUUGAACGCACAUUGCGCCCUCUGGUAUUCCGGAGGGCAUGCCUGUUCGAGCGUCAUUAUACCCCUCAAGCCUAGCUUGGUAUUGGGACGCGCCGCCCGCCCGGCGGCGCUCCUUAAAAUCAGUGGCGGCUCAGCUCAGCUUCAAGCGUAGUAAUUUUUUCUCGCUCUGGAGCCUGGGUUGGUGCCUGCCAGAAGCCUANAUUUUUUUCAGGUUGACCUCGGAUCAGGUAGG